GGGUCAUUACCAAGGCUUUUAGAAUGCAGUUUUCUUAUUUGCUGUGGACAUGACCUUAAAAAAAAAUCCCAGUAGGUUUGGUUCUUGCUAUUCGGUUAGCAUUCCGCCUACAGGGGACAUUC
Small nucleolar RNA from Talpa occidentalis (Iberian mole), 122 nucleotides. RefSeq annotates it as small nucleolar RNA SNORA32. The transcript has a single exon. Lineage: Eukaryota; Metazoa; Chordata; Mammalia; Eulipotyphla; Talpidae. The record is from RefSeq and is a predicted model, not a curated record.